UACGAAGGUGGCGAGCGUUACUCGGAAUUACUAGGCGUAAAGCGUAUGUAGGUGGUUGGAUAAGUCUAUGGUGAAAUUUCCUGGCUCAACUGGGAAGGGUACAUAGAUACUGUCCGGCUUGAGUGUUGCAGGGGGAGACGGAAUUCCUGGUGUAGCGGUGAAAUGCGUAGAUAUCAGGAAGAACACCGAUGGCGAAAGCAGUCUCCUGGGCAAAUACUGACACUGAGGUACGAAAGCUAGGGUAGCAAAC
RNAcentral lists this ribosomal RNA (250 nucleotides) under uncultured prokaryote. Its description in RNAcentral is "partial 16S ribosomal RNA". It matches the Rfam family "Bacterial small subunit ribosomal RNA", at positions 524 to 773 of the family's 1533-position model. The record is from RNAcentral.